RNAcentral lists this ribosomal RNA (1147 nucleotides) under Salmonella enterica. RNAcentral describes it as "partial 23S ribosomal RNA". It matches the Rfam family "Bacterial large subunit ribosomal RNA", at positions 711 to 1769 of the family's 2925-position model. Lineage: Bacteria; Pseudomonadati; Pseudomonadota; Gammaproteobacteria; Enterobacterales; Enterobacteriaceae. The record is from RNAcentral.
AGACCCGAAACCCGGUGAUCUAGCCAUGGGCAGGUUGAAGGUUGGGUAACACUAACUGGAGGACCGAACCGACUAAUGUUGAAAAAUUAGCGGAUGACCUGUGGCUGGGGGUGAAAGGCCAAUCAAACCGGGAGAUAGCUGGUUCUCCCCGAAAGCUAUUUAGGUAGCGCCUCGUGAAUUCAUCUCCGGGGGUAGAGCACUGUUUCGGCUAGGGGGCCAUCCCGGCUUACCAACCCGAUGCAAACUGCGAAUACCGGAGAAUGUUAUCACGGGAGACACACGGCGGGUGCUAACGUCCGUCGUGAAGAGGGAAACAACCCAGACCGCCAGCUAAGGUCCCAAAGUCAUGGUUAAGUGGGAAACGAUGUGGGAAGGCCCAGACAGCCAGGAUGUUGGCUUAGAAGCAGCCAUCAUUUAAAGAAAGCGUAAUAGCUCACUGGUCGAGUCGGCCUGCGCGGAAGAUGUAACGGGGCUAAACCAUGCACCGAAGCUGCGGCAGCGAACGUAUCACCCAAGACAACUUUACGGAGUUGACGAUUGACGGAGCGAAGCGACGUCAAAGCGUUCAUUAAAGUCGAGUUGGCUUAGGGAUACGUUCGUUGGGUAGGGGAGCGUUCUGUAAGCCUGUGAAGGUGUGUCGUGAGGCAUGCUGGAGGUAUCAGAAGUGCGAAUGCUGACAUAAGUAACGAUAAAGCGGGUGAAAAGCCCGCUCGCCGGAAGACCAAGGGUUCCUGUCCAACGUUAAUCGGGGCAGGGUGAGUCGACCCCUAAGGCGAGGCCGAAAGGCGUAGUCGAUGGGAAACGGGUUAAUAUUCCCGUACUUGGUGUUACUGCGAAGGGGGGACGGAGAAGGCUAUGUUGGCCGGGCGACGGUUGUCCCGGUUUAAGCGUGUAGGUGUGUGUUCCAGGUAAAUCCGGUUCACUUUAACACUGAGGCGUGACGACGAGGCACUACGGUGCUGAAGCAACAAAUGCCCUGCUUCCAGGAAAAGCCUCUAAGCAUCAGGUAACAUCAAAUCGUACCCCAAACCGACACAGGUGGUCAGGUAGAGAAUACCAAGGCGCUUGAGAGAACUCGGGUGAAGGAACUAGGCAAAAUGGUGCCGUAACUUCGGGAGAAGGCACGCUGACACGUAGGUGAAGUGAU